CGCUGGGCAGAGAGGAGAGCUGGGCAGAGAGGUGAAGCAUGAGCAGAUGAGCAAUUGAGUAGGAGAGGGGGAGGCAUCAAAGUCAAGAAUGUCAGAAUGUCAAAGGACCCUGGGCCAGGCAGGUAGUAAGCAAAUGGAUAUAGCAGAAGAGAAAUGUGGUGGGUGGGCUGGGAUUCACCAUUAAUUCAUAGGGAGUGAAGCGCCAACAUAGUAUGCCUGAGGUAUAAGGCUGGGAGAGAUGGGAGUGGUGAAGGGAGUUGGGUUUGUGUGGAUAUGAGCAGAGAGCUCCAUGCAGGACAGGUGGAAGGGGCAGAUGGGAUGGAAGAGAAUGAAUGCCUGCAGGGAGGAAGAGAGAAGGGGUGGACGGCAGUACCCUGGGCUCUGUGCAGAGCGAGACUGAGCGCCAUGGUGUCAGGCAUGGCUGAGCAGGCACGGGACAAGACAGAGGGCUGAAGGUCAAAGACCCAGUGCAGAGGUUCCCAAACUUUUGUUGCCCACGCCCCUCCUAAGCAUCUCUAAAAUCCUGAUGCUUGCCCCCGCCCGUGACUUAUAAUUGCCAUUAUUCCAAAUGUAAACUCCUAUUGGCUUGGAGGACACCUCAAAGGCCACUGACUUGGUCUAAAUAAUCUUCCAAAGAACAUGGCACCCAUGAAAGAGAAAAAUGAAAGAACAAAAGGACACUUGAAGUAUGGAGGAAGAAAUAACCCCAACAUGUUUUAAAAAAAUCACAUUUCCAAGUGAUAUCCAAUUGGAACAAAUAAUCUUUUAAAACCUAUCACGGAGAACUGAACUGCAUCAAUACGUCACCACAGAUACUUCUAUGAUGUACUUGUAUCUGAUGCCUCUAGAACCACAAGUAGUGCAAGAAAUGCACCCUUAAUAACUCCUUCUCAAAUCAGGCCCCGUUCUUCCAAAUUGUCCCACUGAGAACGGUUGGAACCACUGACCUAGACUGAUAAAGCAGAGGUAGGGGAAUGAGCGGAACAGGCUCCCCAAGGGCAGCGUCCCAGGAAUGUGCAACAGAGGGGUCCCGGUGGAGAAAGGAAAGCUUACUGGGAACCAUGUUUGCCUCCAGGGAGGAAGUCACACUGCGGGUUCACAGGAUGUGAGCAGAGGGCAUUGGGCAAACAUGCUGAUGCAGGACAGUAUACGGAGGCCAAGGAGACUGCACUGGGCUGUGAAGAAGGUGGGCAAUGACUUAAGGAGCACACAGAACACUACAUGACGGGUUUCAGCCAGGAGAUGCAAAGACUGUGACUGCAGAAAAGUCACGUGGCACAGGAAGGACAGUUGUCUUGCUAGGUAUGCGGUAGACAAGCAAAGCGGCAUAGAUGAUGACCCCGGUGCCAAGAGCUAGGCCAUCAGGUGAGCAGAUUCAAACUGUGGGAGAGCGUAGUAGUAGAGGGGACAAAUUCCAAGGGGCAAAAAGAGUGAGAAAGGACAGGGAGACCAACCAACGCACUGCACCCAAAGCAAAGAAUGGCAAAAAGGGCAACAUGGGUGGCCACUAGGAGAAGGCAGCAAGUCUUAAGCCCCUGAGUGACACCUGAAUGUGAAGGAACCCACCCAGGGGAAGCUCACAGAGUAGUGGGUGAGGCCAAAGAGCAAUGCCGGCCUGGUGGGAUGAGGUCCCAGGAGGAUGAGGUGUGGAGAAGUGGCCCAUGCAAAAGCCUGGGGACCACCGUGGCUGUGUGGAAGGAUCAUGCCAGGGCUCUGGCAGGAGGAAUGAGGUAGAGAAAAGGGAUAAUAUCGUGUGCUGAGAAGGUCCAAGUUGCGGACAGAGGUACUUCCACAAGGCAUGAGAGUCAUAAAGUCAGGGAGGAACGAGUAGCUCAUGUGUGUGCGUGCAUUAGGAUUGUGGUCGUGGCGUGAGGAACAAUAAGAGUGUCUCUUCAGACUGGCAUCUGGACAGGAAUGGGGUGUGUGCAAGAGGACAGUGUCCGGACAUUGUGGGAAUGGUGCCGAUGCUGGGACCUUUGAGGAAAAUGUGUCAAUGGAAGGCUAGGGGCCCAAGGAUGAGUGCGGCCCAGGAGUCAGGAUGGGCUUCCACAGCAGUGAUUCUUCCCUGGGGGGGGUGGGGGAGGGGGGAGGGGAUUUCCCCCCAGGGGGGUGGGGUGGGUGGGCACGACCCCCGAGGGAGGCCGAUCACAACAUCCGAAGUGGAAGCAGCACACUGCUCUAAACCACAAACCCA
Molecule: long non-coding RNA, 2194 nt
Organism: Pipistrellus kuhlii (Kuhl's pipistrelle)
Lineage: Eukaryota; Metazoa; Chordata; Mammalia; Chiroptera; Vespertilionidae
Exons: 3
Source: RefSeq, a predicted model, not a curated record